Molecule: long non-coding RNA, 755 nt
Organism: Hemicordylus capensis (graceful crag lizard)
Lineage: Eukaryota; Metazoa; Chordata; Lepidosauria; Squamata; Cordylidae
Exons: 3
Source: RefSeq, a predicted model, not a curated record
GGCCAUACACCGGGAUGGCCUUCAAAAGGAAUAACUAGAUUGGGGUGACUGAGUAGCAUUAAGUCACUGUCUGUUUCUCAAUUUCUGUUCUCCAUUUGUGAAAUGGGGAAAUAAUAUAGGUGAAGAACAAAAGGCAAGAGUUCCAGCACUGAAGCGGAAAGAAAUAAUGGUGGCGGCCAGGAGGCUGAGGGCCAGCAAGCAAAGGACCGCUGGCUGGAAAAGGGUGACAUAUGUGCAUCAACAGAAUCAAAGGACUGUAAUCUAACAACACUAACACCCAUUGCCUUCUGUUAUGUUCCUCUGCAAAAAUAAUAAUAAAGAAGUUGUGUCCAGCCUCCGAAAUAUCACUGUCUGCAGAAGCCCUAAUGUUCUAUAUAGGCACUGACCUUGAAGAGACAAGAGAGGUUGAUAAUAGUCUCGAAGCUGGAACCCCACAGCUCUGUGCCCAGAUACAGGGUAAGGCCUAUAAUGAGUGUUAUUUUUUGGCCUUGGGUGCACAGCAUGUGAAGAUGCUGCCAGUUGAGCACUUGCACCUGCUUCUACUGCUGUUAUAAGCACAUUGUCAAGCGUGUGAUCUCAGAAUUAGAAAAACGAUGGAAAUCCUCUCCUAUAAGUUCACAUUUCUAUAAUGAAUUAUAGCUAAUAAACUUUGACAUUACACAGCGGAAGAAAUGGAAUGAUUCUUGAUCUUUUGCAACACUAAUUGUACUGGUUUCAGAUUUCACUGUCCUGCCUACUAGAAUUUAAUCUUUUAU